GCUAAUACAUGCGCACAUACCUCUUCCCUCGUGGAAGGGUAGUGUUUAUUAGAUACAGAACCAACCCACCUUCGGGUGGUCCCCAGGUGAUUCAUAGUAACCGAACGGAUCGCAUUAUGACCUUUUGGUCGGCGAUGGAUCAUUCAAGUUUCUGACCUAUCAGCUUUCGACGGUACUGUAUUGGACUACCGUGGCAGUGACGGGUAACGGGGAAUUAGGGUUCGAUUCCGGAGAGGGAGCCUGAGAAACGGCUACCACAUCUAAGGAAGGCAGCAGGCGCGCAAAUUACCCAAUCCUGACUCAGGGAGGUAGUGACAAGAAAUAACAACACUGGAAAUUAUAUUUCUAGUGAUUGGAAUGAUGGGAAUCCAAACCCCUUUCAGAGUAACAAUUGGAGGGCAAGUCUGGUGCCAGCAGCCGCGGUAAUUCCAGCUCCAAUAGCGUAUAUUAAAGUUGUUGCAGUUAAAAAGCUCGUAGUUGGAUAUCUGCUGGAAGCAGCCAGUCCGCCCUUUGUGGGUGUGCACUUGGUGAAUUCUGGCAUCCUCCUGAUUGGUGUCAUCAUCACUUCAUUGUGUUGGUGGCAGCUGUCAGGACCGUUACUUUGAGAAAAUUAGAGUGUUUCAAGCAGGCUUGUUGCCUUGAAUACUGCAGCAUGGAAUAACAAGAUAGGAUUUCGGUUCUAUUUUGUUGGUUUCUAGGACUGAAGUAAUGAUUAAUAGGGACAGUUGGGGGCAUUCGUAUUUAACUGUCAGAGGUGAAAUUCUUAGAUUUGUUAAAGACGAA
RNAcentral lists this ribosomal RNA (783 nucleotides) under Sarcocystis sp. RNAcentral describes it as "SSU rRNA". It matches the Rfam family "Eukaryotic small subunit ribosomal RNA", at positions 163 to 939 of the family's 1831-position model. The record is from RNAcentral. RNAcentral also lists the same sequence under 1 other name. Lineage: Eukaryota; Apicomplexa; Conoidasida; Eucoccidiorida; Sarcocystidae.